Poecilia latipinna (sailfin molly) is the source of this 1380-nucleotide long non-coding RNA. RefSeq lists it as uncharacterized. Lineage: Eukaryota; Metazoa; Chordata; Actinopteri; Cyprinodontiformes; Poeciliidae. The transcript has 5 exons. The record is from RefSeq and is a predicted model, not a curated record.
UCGCUCACAUAACUGUCAGCCUCUGAAGGAGCAGCGCUAAUGGGGCUGUUUUUAAUGAGCCAGGAAGAGGAGAGUGACCCUUCGAAGAACCUGGAGAGCAUCCUGUGUCUCCUCUGCUGGGAAUCUUCUGCUACUUCUAGGAGUCAAGGAUGGAGAAGAAGAAGAAGAAAAGGAAGAAGAAGAAGAAGAAGAAGAAGCAGUCAGGAGCCGGAGUACCAGAGCGAGCGGAAAACAAACCGUGAUGGAUAGACACGUGCCGGCGUACAGAGGAACCUAUUUGGACUGGCGUGUCAGCCCAUCUUUAUCAAAUGUUGCAGAGAACCCCGCUCCGCUGCUCCUUUCCCUCCACCUCCCCCGUCUUCCUGCCCAUUUAGCCGCUGUGAGCUGUGAGCUGCAGGAUCGGAGCUUUAGAGUGAGCGCGAAAAGCGCAGGCCCUUCUCCGCCGGAUGGCCGAGGGAACGCUGCGAUGCUUCGGAAGAGUUUGGAGUGGGGUAGAUAUCGAUUUACACUGCAUGACUGGGGCCGCUAACGAAGCCUCUCCCCUGCCUGCCCCAUCUCAUGACAACCACCUGCCUCGCCGCGCAGCCAUUGGCUGAGCCUCGGCAGCGCCUCUGCCAAUCAAAGCCCCACUGAUGGCCCCUGCUUGAGCAUGACCUCAGGAUGACAUCACUGGAAAGGCAUUAAAGUAAUAAAGGGCUUGCUAGUACAAUACAGUAAAGGGCAGGGCAACAUAAAGCCUCAUCAAUCAGAGCAUACACAGAAUUCAAAUAGAGGCGUCUCACUCUUAGUUGAACGAGAGGUCAUCUCUCCCGGAGCGCCGUCUCCCCUGGAAAAACUUCUCCCUCCGAGUCUAUCAGUUCUGUCGUAAUGUUUUGAGUCUAUCUGCGCUGCACACCUUGUCGGUAAAAUGGAGACAGGCUGUGUAAGUGUGUGUGUGUGUGGGGGGGGAGGGGUGGAUAGAGGUAUAUUACCACAUAGGAAGGUGGGGAUCAAUAGUAAAUCCUCCUGAGCUGUAGGUAUUUCUCCUGAGAUGUGGGGACUCUUGAGUCUAAUCAAUGAAAACCACGGCGAGCAUCUUGGACUUGAUGGAAGUUUGGACUGAUGGGAAUCCAUCGUGAGAUGAGUUACAGCGGCCAUCAUAAAAAGGAGAGGCGAACGAUUGUCCAAAAUCAAAACAACUCGAACUCAAGGUGGCGUUUCAGAGCAGAAAUGUGUCCCCACUGGUCAACAUUAGAUCCAUCGUGUUAAGGUCAACAUGGUUUUAGAAGAUAUACUUAGAUUAUACGACACAAAUGUAGUAAAAUUACCCAAUGUCUUCUUCAGCUUUUCUUCAGAAAGGAAAGGUCUGUUCGCAAACAAUAAAUGUUUGACUUUGAGAAA